UUCCUGUGGUGUGGGCCAGUGGAAUUCCAAGAAAAUGGACAAGGGCAGAACCUGUAAGAAUUACCCCUAAGCCAGAGUCUCUCCUGGCAGAAGAGCCCAGGCCUGAGCUGGCUGAGUGUUGGUGUGACCCACAGUGGGUGUCCCCUGCCCUCGGGACAGUCCCCAGAGCUCCCUUUGGCAUCCCCUGCUGAAGGGUGGGAGCUGCCCAGAGCCAGCAGCAUCCAGCUGGAGGAUCCCAGAGGAUGCAGCUGAUGUUGUCUGGGAGUUGAAAACAGAAGUGAUUUUCAAGGUGUUGGCACUUGUUUUCCUGUGUCUUUGGUGAGGUGCUGACUCAGUACCUUUCCUGGAGCUGCUGUUGGAUGAAGAGGUGCCCCCAAUUGACCUGGAAG
Molecule: long non-coding RNA, 389 nt
Organism: Corapipo altera (White-ruffed manakin)
Lineage: Eukaryota; Metazoa; Chordata; Aves; Passeriformes; Pipridae
Exons: 3
Source: RefSeq, a predicted model, not a curated record